Non-coding RNA from Physcomitrium patens, 572 nucleotides. The record is from RefSeq and is a predicted model, not a curated record. NCBI's taxonomy places the organism in Eukaryota, Viridiplantae, Streptophyta, Bryopsida, Funariales, Funariaceae.
AGUAUGCAUGUGUGAGUGGGGGGUGGGAAUGGCGAUGGAUUGAUCGAUCGAUAGUUCGCAAUGGCAGGCGCCGCAGCAGCCACCAAGGUACCGAAGCAGGUGACCAAGAGCCCCAGCAUGGCGCUUUCUUACUUGGUGUCUGUCGCGUCUCUCCUCACUGGUGCUUCCGUUGUGCACAACGUUUUCAAACCCGAUUUGACAAUUCCGGACGUCAGCUCCAAGGGCAUUGAAGUUGCGGACACCAGCAACACCACCAAUUGAGAGGGGCAUCAAUAGGGGGCGCUAAUUGGCGUUCAAAAGUAAAGCUGAUGUGCAGUUUCGCGCUAUGGCAACAGUCGGCAGUUCCAAUCGAUUGUGGCGCUGUGUUAGUGGGAUGUCUCCGUGAAGGUCCUCCCCCGCUUUUGCUGAAGAACUGCGUGAGUUGCUUUCGUAGAUUCUCUCGAAAUAGUCUUCAUUGAGGUGUUAUGCAGUGUUUGUACUUUCACCUCGUUUAAUGUGAGCCUCUUCAAAAACAAACACACAAACACAUAUCUAUCUAUCUAUAUAACUUCAAUUUUCUACACAGUUUAUCA